GACGAACGCUGGCGGCGUGCUUAACACAUGCAAGUCGAACGAUGAAGCCCAGCUUGCUGGGUGGAUUAGUGGCGAACGGGUGAGUAACACGUGAGUAACCUGCCCUUAACUCUGGGAUAAGCCUGGGAAACUGGGUCUAAUACCGGAUAGGAGCGUCCACCGCAUGGUGGGUGUUGGAAAGAUUUAUCGGUUUUGGAUGGACUCGCGGCCUAUCAGCUUGUUGGUGAGGUAAUGGCUCACCAAGGCGACGACGGGUAGCCGGCCUGAGAGGGUGACCGGCCACACUGGGACCGAGACACGGCCCAGACUCCUACGGGAGGCAGCAGUGGGGAAUAUUGCACAAUGGGCGAAAGCCUGAUGCAGCGACGCCGCGUGAGGGAUGACGGCCUUCGGGUUGUAAACCUCUUUCAGUAGGGAAGAAGCGAAAGUGACGGUACCUGCAGAAGAAGCACCGGCUAACUACGUG
Molecule: ribosomal RNA, 466 nt
Filed under: uncultured bacterium
Lineage: Bacteria
Description: partial 16S ribosomal RNA
Rfam family: Bacterial small subunit ribosomal RNA
Source: RNAcentral